GUGAGGGGAACAUGUAGCACCAUUCCUCAGAUAUAAAUAAGACAGGGUGGAAGCUGUGAGGAGCAGGAGAUGUGAAGAGAUAAGAGGACUCAUGUGGACUCAUAUGUGGGAACAUAUGACAGGAGAAACAAGCUUAAAGAAGUGAGGAGAUGCAGCAAGGAAAACUGGGAGAAAGAACAUGGCAGAAACACAAAAGAGAACACCAGAGGACAACUGUGAAGAGGCAGAGUUUUGGAGAAAAUUAAGAAGGAAGCAGAGAGAUACAGUGGAAAGGACACUGCUGGGCUCACAGCUGGAGGCACAGUUCUGCAAGGAGUUCCAUGACAUGAAGGCAAAUUCUUCUGAAAGAACUGGAGUCAUGGAUGACCCAUGCCAUAGCAGGGACACCCCUGAGUGGACUACAGCACAUGAAGUAACACAUACCAGUAUGCAGAAGCAAAGAAUAGAAGGUAAAACUUUGAGAAGAAUGAAAGUGAACAUGGAGUAUAUUUGCCAUUUUCAAAAGUGAGGAUCUUAAUUCAUCCAUACUGUUUGAGAAGACAGCAUCAGAAAAACAGGUUAUCUAUAUAUACAAGCAAAUAUACUUCAAAAUAUGAAUAUACAGAAAUGUGUGCCAUCAGCAGCAGAAGUGAAUUAAAAUUCACAUUUGCUAAAAUUCAAUAAUUUUCUUACAUGAAUGUGAGUUUUAAAUCUGUAGAGCUGUCAGUCAAAACAAUAUAAAAACAUAGACUUAAUUUGUGAAGUCAUAGUGCAUGAAGAAUAAAUAACUUGGGGAAUUAUUUAUCA
Molecule: long non-coding RNA, 786 nt
Filed under: Cyanistes caeruleus (blue tit)
Lineage: Eukaryota; Metazoa; Chordata; Aves; Passeriformes; Paridae
Description: lncRNA (ENSCCEG00000000832.1)
Source: RNAcentral